AGGACCAGAUAGAUAGAUCGGAAGGAUUCUAUCGAAACCGAAGUUAGUUCAAAGGGACGCUUAGAUCUUGUUAAAUACUCGAUGAAACGCUCGACGUAACGUCGGUUUUGCAUCGAAUCUACUCCCGUAGGAAGAUUAACUUCUUGCAUCGUCGAUCGAUCCAUCUAUCGUGAAUGAUCGAACCAGGAAAUACAUUGUUUUCUUUUUUUUUUUUUUUUUUUUUCUCUAUUACUUCCGAUCGGCUGGAAAUAAAGCCAAUGAAGAGGAGAGAAGAUUUAAGGAUUUAUUCGAAAAUAAAUUUUGAUUUACAAUAUAUAAAACAGAGAAAGGAUCGAUAUAUAUAUAUAUAUACUAUAUAUACUAUAUAUCGAUUAUGCAAAAGUGUUCAAUGCAGACGACAAAAGAAAUCACGUCGCAAAAUCUCGUGACAUUGAAUUGGCGUGUACAUAAGAAGGAAAUAGCUCGCGGAUAAGAGAAUGAUCCAUUAGCCAUAGGAGAAGGUAAUAUGGUAUUAACACGCGCAAGAGGGGCGUGCUGACCUAUCCCACUGGCCAAACGACGGAGGCAGAGAAAGAGAAAGAGAGAGAGAGUGAGAGAGAGAGAGAGAGAAGAGAGAAGGAUAUACGUGUGAAAGGGGAAAAGGUAAUAGGAGGAGGGUGACGGCCAUUCCUUACCAUCCUGGCACAGUUAAUUACCGUGGAUUAUGAUUCUCUUGAACAGAGAUCAACCUUGCCUUCUUUGAAAGGGUUAUCUACAUUGACUGUCUGCUUGCUGACAGGACAGUGGACGGGGUGGGGGAGGAAAGAAAUUAUUCGUGAUAAUAAU
Molecule: long non-coding RNA, 825 nt
Organism: Vespa mandarinia (Asian giant hornet)
Lineage: Eukaryota; Metazoa; Arthropoda; Insecta; Hymenoptera; Vespidae
Source: RefSeq, a predicted model, not a curated record